GGUUCGAUUAUGGCUCAGAUUGAACGCUGGCGGGAUGCUUUACACAUGCAAGUCGAACGGCAGCACGGACUUCGGUCUGGUGGCGAGUGGCGAACGGGUGAGUAAUGUAUCGGAACGUGCCUAGUAGCGGGGGAUAACUACGCGAAAGCGUAGCUACUACCGCAUACUGCCCUUCGGGGGAAAGCGGGGACCUUCGGGCCUCGCACUAUUAGAGCGGCCGAUAUCGGAUUAGCUAGUUGGUGGGGUAACGGCUCACCAAGGUGACGAUCCGUAGCUGGUUUGAGAGGACGACCAGCCACAUUGGGACUGAGACACGGCCCAGACUCCUACGGGAGGCAGCAGUGGGGAAUUUUGGACAAUGGGGGAACCCUGAUCCAGCCAUCCCGCGUGUGCGAUGAAGGCCUUCGGGUUGUAAAGCACUUUUGGCAGGAAAGAAAACGGCACGGAUAACACCCGUGCAACUGACGCGGCACUGCAGAAAGGCGCACCACAACUAGUCAGCCAGCAGCCGCGGCAAUGGCCGUGAGGUGCAAGUGUUAACUGAAUCACAUUUUGGCGCGAAGGCAGGCGGUUCGGAAAGAAAGAUGUGAAACUCAGAGCUUAACUUUGGAACUGCAUUUUUAACUACCGAGCUAGAGUGUCAGAGGGAGGUGGAAUUCCGCGUGUAGCAGUGAAACGGUAGACAUGGAGGAACACCAUUACGAAGCGCAGCCUCCUGGGAUGACACUGACGCUCAUGCACGAAAGCGUGGGGAGCAAACAGGAUUAGAUACCCCAGAACCACGCCCAAACGACACAACUUAGCUGUUGUGCCUUCGGGCUCUUGGUAGCGCAGCUAAUCGCGCGUUGACCGCCUGGGGAGUACGGUCGCAAGAUUAAAACUCAAAGGAAUUGACGGGACCCGGCACAAGCAGAUGAGCCGGAUGACCUGAUGCACCAGGCGAAAAACCCCACCCACCUUGACAGCGUCUGGAAUCCCCACAGAUUUGGGGAGUGCUCGCAAGAGAACCGGAACACAGGUGCUGCAUGGCUGUCGUCAGCUCGUGUCGUGAGAUGUUGGGUUAAGUCCCGCAACGAGCGCAACCCUGUCAUUAGUUGCUACGAAAGGGCACUCUGACGUAGACUGGCAGACAAAACCGGAUAGCUGUGGAUACCGGCGCUCCCAGCGUCUCAGGGUAGGGAUUCACACGUCAUACAAUGGUCGGGACAGAGGGUCGCCAACCCGCGAGGGGGAGCCAAUCCCAGAAACCCGAUCGUAGUCCGGAUCGCAGUCUGCAACCUGACUGGUGAAGUCGGAAUCGCUAGUAAUCGCGGAUCAGCAUGUCGCGGUAACAUGUCCGGCCCGUACACACCAUCACACACCAUGGGAGUGGGUUUUACCAGAAGUAGUUAGCCUAACCGUAAGGAGGGCGAUUACCACGGUAGGAUUCAUGACUGGGGUGAAGUCGUAACAAGGUAA
Molecule: ribosomal RNA, 1458 nt
Filed under: uncultured Bordetella sp.
Lineage: Bacteria; Pseudomonadati; Pseudomonadota; Betaproteobacteria; Burkholderiales; Alcaligenaceae
Description: partial 16S-23S ribosomal RNA intergenic spacer
Rfam family: Bacterial small subunit ribosomal RNA
Source: RNAcentral